This 115-nucleotide small RNA is filed under the name Salmonella enterica subsp. enterica serovar Braenderup. RNAcentral describes it as "partial RtT sRNA". It matches the Rfam family "RtT RNA". Rfam says of the family: This family represents a bacterial cis-regulatory element known as RtT RNA. The record is from RNAcentral. Lineage: Bacteria; Pseudomonadati; Pseudomonadota; Gammaproteobacteria; Enterobacterales; Enterobacteriaceae.
UUGCUAUCUGCGAUAUGGAAGAUUCGAACCUGCCGCAGGUUCGGGUCGAACGCAGUGAGACAACGGAGCCGUUUACGGCGACGGCCCGAAGGGCGAGCGAAGCGAGUCAUCCUGC